GCGCUCGUAUCUCAAUUGGAUAGAGUAUUGGCCUCCGAAGCCAAAGGUUGGGUGUUCAAAUCACCUCGAGCGCACCA
Molecule: transfer RNA, 77 nt
Filed under: Candidatus Thiodubiliella endoseptemdiera
Lineage: Bacteria; Pseudomonadati; Pseudomonadota; Gammaproteobacteria; Pseudothioglobaceae (SeqCode)
Description: tRNA-Arg
Rfam family: tRNA
About the family: Transfer RNA (tRNA) molecules are approximately 80 nucleotides in length. Their secondary structure includes four short double-helical elements and three loops (D, anti-codon, and T loops).
Source: RNAcentral